CAUUUCUAUAAAAUCAAACUUUCAUCUUAUGGUAAAAAGAAGCCUGUUGGAUAGCAUAUGUAAAGUAUGAUCCUAAUUUUCUUAGUAUUCUGUUUUCCCCUCAAACUCCUACUCAGAUCUCUGUUAGUUGUUAUCAAUCAGUUCUAUAGGGGAAGAAAUAAAACCACAUGCAAAAUGAAAUGAAUGAUACAAUGAAGAGAACAUACAUGCAAUAUCCCCUCUACCCCUUCCCCCCAGAAAUUCAGGACUUUUCUCUAUGGAUACCUUGAAAAAGGAAUGGACGGUGGUAAAUACACCAUGUGACUAUACCAUUUUUCCCCCUUUAAUUAGGAACAAACACACACACACACAAAGGAGGGAUUAAAAUUCGCUUUUUGUGGCUCACU
Molecule: long non-coding RNA, 386 nt
Filed under: Bos taurus (domestic cattle)
Lineage: Eukaryota; Metazoa; Chordata; Mammalia; Artiodactyla; Bovidae
Description: long non-coding RNA NONBTAT015450
Source: RNAcentral